RNAcentral lists this ribosomal RNA (261 nucleotides) under uncultured bacterium. RNAcentral describes it as "partial 16S ribosomal RNA". It matches the Rfam family "Bacterial small subunit ribosomal RNA", at positions 95 to 354 of the family's 1533-position model. The record is from RNAcentral.
UAGGCGAACGGGUGAGUAACACGUGAGCAACCUGCCCUAUACAACGGGAUACCUACGGGAAACUGUAGUUAAUACGGUAUAAGACCACACAGUCGCAUGGCUGAGGGGUAAAAGGAGAAAUCCGGUAUAGGAUGGGCUCGCGGCGCAUUAGCUAGUUGGUGAGGUAACGGCUCACCAAGGCGACGAUGCGUAGCCGACCUGAGAGGGUGGACGGCCACACUGGGACUGAGAUACGGCCCAGACUCCUACGGAAGGCAGCAG